UAGAGUUUGAUCCUGGCUCAGAGCGAACGCUGGCGGCAGGCCUAACACAUGCAAGUCGAGCGAGAGAGGUCUUCGGAUCUUUCGAGCGGCGGACGGGUGAGUAACACGUGAGUAACCAACCCUGCAGUGGGGGAUACCCGGUGGAAACACCGGUUAAUCCCGCAUACGCUCUCUUUGAGAGGAAAGCAGCAAUGCGCUGGAGAACGGGCUCGCGGCUGAUUAGCUAGUUGGUAGGGUAAGAGCCUACCAAGGCGACGAUCAGUAGCUGGUCUGAGAGGAUGAUCAGCCACACUGGGAUUGAGAACGGCCCAGACUCCUACGGGGGGCAGCAGUGAGGAAUCUUCGUCAAUGGGCGCAAGCCUGAACGAGCAACGCCGCGUGCGGGACGACGGCCUUCGGGUUGUAAACCGCUUUUCACGAGGACGAGACAGGACGGUACUCGUGGAAGAACCCUCGGCUAACUACGUGCCACCAGCCGCGGUAAUACUUAGGAAGCAAGCGUUGUCCGGAUUUACUGGGCGUAAAGGGCGCGCAAGGGGGCCAUUCGCUUUCCGGGGAAAGCGCUCGGCUUACUUGACCAAGGUUCGGGAAAAACGGGUGGGCUUUGACCUCCGAAAAGGGGACUUGGACCUCCGGUGGGAGCGUGUAAACUCCGUAAAAUGCCCGAAGAAGCGUAAGCGGAAGAGGAGUCGACCGACACAUGGACUUGUCGGCACACCUUAAUUCUUUGUUGAGUUUGUCAAGUUAAAAAUGCCUGGAGUUCUAGUGUUGAGUAAAGUCGCUUCUAAACUGUGAUCGGUCUUCGUCAGAUCGUGUCUGCUGUCGCCGGUCUCGGACAUCGUUGAGAUAUACACUGGUCGCGAGUAUUGGCGCGACGUGCA
This 881-nucleotide ribosomal RNA is filed under the name uncultured Alphaproteobacteria bacterium. Its description in RNAcentral is "bacterial SSU rRNA". The stretch from base 3 to 755 matches the Rfam family "Bacterial small subunit ribosomal RNA", at positions 9 to 873 of the family's 1533-position model. The record is from RNAcentral. Lineage: Bacteria; Pseudomonadati; Pseudomonadota; Alphaproteobacteria.